GACAGAGGAUGCAAGCGUUAUCCGGAAUGAUUGGGCGUAAAGCGUCUGUAGGUGGUUUAUUAAGUCUACUGUUAAAGAUCAGGGCUUAACCCUGAGCAGGCAAUAGAAACUAAUAAGCUAGAGUACGGUAGGGGCAGAGGGAAUUCCCGGUGUAGCGGUGAAAUGCGUAGAUAUCAAGAGGAACACCUGCGGCGAAGGCGGGUUGCUGGGCCGACACUGACGCUGAUGCGCGAAAGCUAGGGGAGCGAACGGG
This 253-nucleotide ribosomal RNA is filed under the name uncultured bacterium. RNAcentral describes it as "partial 16S ribosomal RNA". It matches the Rfam family "Bacterial small subunit ribosomal RNA", at positions 524 to 776 of the family's 1533-position model. The record is from RNAcentral.